CGUAGGUGGCGAGCGUUGUCCGGAAUUAUUGGGCGUAAAGGGAGCGCAGGCGGGAGGUCAAGUCUAUCUUAAAAGUGCGGGGCUCAACCCCGUGAGGGGAUGGAAACUGGUCUUCUUGAGUGCAGGAGAGGAAAGCGGAAUUCCUAGUGUAGCGGUGAAAUGCGUAGAUAUUAGGAGGAACACCAGUGGCGAAGGCGGCUUUCUGGACUGUAACUGACGCUGAGGCUCGAAAGCGUGGGGAGCGA
RNAcentral lists this ribosomal RNA (245 nucleotides) under uncultured bacterium. Its description in RNAcentral is "partial 16S ribosomal RNA". It matches the Rfam family "Bacterial small subunit ribosomal RNA", at positions 526 to 771 of the family's 1533-position model. The record is from RNAcentral.